Molecule: ribosomal RNA, 563 nt
Filed under: uncultured bacterium
Lineage: Bacteria
Description: bacterial SSU rRNA
Rfam family: Bacterial small subunit ribosomal RNA
Source: RNAcentral
UUUAAGCAUGCAAGUCGAGCGGUAACUGCCUUCGGGUGUAGACGAGCGGCGAACGGGUGAGUAAUGAAAAGCUAUCUGCCCAUCAGACUGGAAUAGCCCAGGGAAACUUGGAUUAAUGCCGGAUAUGAGGAAACUUGAAAGGUGCGUUUGCACCACAGGUGGAUGAGGCUUUUUCCUAUUAGCUUGUUGGUGAGGUAAUGGCUCACCAAGGUGAUGAUAGGUAGCCGGCCUGAGAGGGUGAUCGGCCACAUUGGGACUGAGAUACGGCCCAGACUCCUACGGGAGGCAGCAGCUAAGAAUAUUCCGCAAUGGGGGAAACCCUGACGGAGCAAUCUCUCAUGGAUGAUGAAUGUCUUCGGAUUGUAAAAUCCUUUCGGCAAGGAAGAAUGUGUAGAGUAGGAAAUGGCUUUGCAUUGACGGUACUUGCAGAAGAAGUCCCGGCUAACUACGUGCCAGCAGCCGCGGUAAUACGUAGGGGGCAAACGUUGUUCGGAAUCACUGGGCGUAAAGGGUAUGUAGGUUGUUAAGUAAGUAAAAGGUGAAAUCCCAAAGCUCAACUUUGG